CAAUAUUUCUAUUAUAGUCAUUUCGAAUUUCAAAUCCCAUGAAUUUCAAGUUUUUACAAGAAUUAAUACAAUUUAAAGCCAACGCAAAUCUUAAUUAAUUAUUCUGUUGCGUUCGAAUACAAAUCAGAAGUGACGUACACGAAACCCGAUGAAAAUGUUGACUUUCCCGAUCGUAAUAAAAACGGUAUCAAAUUCGAAAGUGAAUUUGCCGAUACUGUUAAAGAAACUGACCUAAUUCAGGAUAAUGGAUCGGGAAAUUAUGGAGAUCUUAUUUACAGAUAUAGGGAGAACGGAGAUCAGUUACUUGUCAGGGAAGUUGUCAUCGUUCAAGCUUUAUCUUCUGGUACUCAAGAUAUCCAUUGGUCAGUUUCUAUUUCCGGAGGCCGAGUUUCUUCUGUAAGAGUGCUCAAUUUUGGUAGAGAACGAGCUUAUUGUUUAAGAAUCGAUGUAGCUGGUGGAGAUGUGCAGACUGUUUUAAGAGUAGGACCGUAUCAAGAUCCGAGAGUAAUGAUCGAGAUUUAUGGUUAUUGAUUUAAAAAUAAAAAUCUAUGAAAACUUAUCAAUAAAAAUUAAUU
Diorhabda carinulata is the source of this 575-nucleotide long non-coding RNA. RefSeq lists it as uncharacterized. The transcript has 3 exons. Lineage: Eukaryota; Metazoa; Arthropoda; Insecta; Coleoptera; Chrysomelidae. The record is from RefSeq and is a predicted model, not a curated record.